GUGUCAGCAGCCGCGGUAAUACGUAGGGUGCAAGCGUUAAUCGGAAUUACUGGGCGUAAAGCGUGCGCAGGCGGUUGUGCAAGACAGGUGUGAAAUCCCCGAGCUCAACUUGGGAACUGCACUUGUGACUGCACGGCUAGAGUACGGUAGAGGGGAGUGGAAUUCCGCGUGUAGCAGUGAAAUGCGUAGAUAUGCGGAGGAACACCGAUGGCGAAGGCAGCUCCCUGGACCUGUACUGACGCUCAUGCACGAAAGCGUGGGGAGCAAACAGGAUUAGAUACCCUGGUAGUCC
This 292-nucleotide ribosomal RNA is filed under the name uncultured bacterium. RNAcentral's name for it is "partial 16S ribosomal RNA". It matches the Rfam family "Bacterial small subunit ribosomal RNA", at positions 505 to 796 of the family's 1533-position model. The record is from RNAcentral.